This 497-nucleotide ribosomal RNA is filed under the name uncultured bacterium. RNAcentral describes it as "partial 16S ribosomal RNA". It matches the Rfam family "Bacterial small subunit ribosomal RNA", at positions 28 to 507 of the family's 1533-position model. The record is from RNAcentral.
GAUGAACGCUGGCGGCGUGCUUAAUACAUGCAAGUCGAGCGAACGGACGCGAAGUUUGCUUCUUUGAUGUUUGCGGCGGACGGGUGUGUCACAUGUGGAUCACCUACUUAUCAGUCUGGGAUAAUUUCGGGAAACCGGCGCUAAUCCCGGAUAAUCUUUUGCACCGUAUGGUUCAAAAGUGAAAGACGGUCUUGCUGUCACUUCUCGAUGGAUCCGCGCUGCAUUAGCUAGUUGGUAAGGUAACGGCGUACCAAGGCAACGAUGCGUAGCCGACCUGAUAGAGUGAUCGGCCACACGGGAGCGGAAACGCAGACCAGGGGCCUGCGGGACGCAGCAGUAUGGAAUCUUCCGCAGUGGGCGGAAGCCUUACAGAACAACGCCACGUGAGUUGUAAAGAUCUUGGGAGCGGAAAGCUCUGUUAUGAGUUAUAAACAGAUGUGGAAGUAGCUGUGCACAGCGUGACGGUACCGGGUAAAAAAGCCACGGCUAACUACGUG